UGACACUGGAUUUUUAAUUUCUUGGCCUUUGGUAUCUGUUACACCAUUAUAGAAAAAUUCCAUUCUCUCGCUGUCUCUUUGUCUCUCUGUCUCUUUCUGUCUCUCUGCUUUUCUCUCUCUCUCUCUCUCUCUCUCUCUCUCUCUCUCUCUCUCUCUCUCUCCCUUCCUCCCUCCCUCUCUCCCUCUCCCUCUCCCUUUCUCCCUUUCCCUCUCCCUCUCCAUCUCCCUCUCCAUCUCUAUCUCCCUCUAUGUGUGGGUGGAGGACAUGAAUAUGAGUGUGUUUAUUUAAGAAAGCUUCAAAUGGAGUAGGCAGUUGAUAGUAGGCACUUUGCUUUAAUAAUAUCAUCCCUGAUAGGCUAACCACACUCUUAUGGGAGGCUACUGUGGGUGUUGGAGCUCAUCUUCAUAUCUUCAUACCAUUCUCUAUGGAAGCACUACUCUACCACUUUACACAGGCAACAAAAAAUUCACAGAGAAGCACAAAAAUGUUUUUUUGGAAGCAUUUUAGCAUUUCAUCCUAAUGCUGGUUCUUGUUCUGGAAGAUGGAUGAUAUAGAGUAGAAUAUGUGUAUUCUGCAAAGAAGACUAAACAAGAAGAACAUAAUGAGCUAUGAACCUUCCACUCCAACUCUUACUAAUAGUGGACAGUGCUUUGGAGAAUUGAGAGCCGCAGAUCAAGAAGUUCAUAAUGUCAUCCACAUAAGUUGAGGUUGCUUUUUUUUUUUUUUUGCCUAUAAUGAUUUAUGAGUAGAUUUGAGAUUUGAAAAUAA
Long non-coding RNA from Mus musculus (house mouse), 769 nucleotides. RefSeq annotates it as predicted gene, 33912. The record is from RefSeq and is a predicted model, not a curated record. The transcript is spliced from 3 exons. Lineage: Eukaryota; Metazoa; Chordata; Mammalia; Rodentia; Muridae.